RNAcentral lists this ribosomal RNA (200 nucleotides) under uncultured bacterium. RNAcentral's name for it is "partial 16S ribosomal RNA". It matches the Rfam family "Bacterial small subunit ribosomal RNA", at positions 1300 to 1500 of the family's 1533-position model. The record is from RNAcentral.
GCAGGCUGNAACCCGCCUGCAUGAAGUCGGAAUUGCUAGUAAUCGCGGAUCAGCAUGCCGCGGUGAAUACGUUCCCGGGCCUUGUACACACCGCCCGUCACACCAUGGGAGCCGGUAAUACCCGAAGUCAGUAGUCCAACCUCGUGAGGACGCUGCCGAAGGUAGGAUUGGCGACUGGGGUGAAGUCGUAACAAGGUAUC